AGAAGGAAUGGGGAAUGUUAAAGUGAUUAUGAAUAAUGGAAAAUUUGGGUUAGUUUAGAACGUCUGGUAUGUUCUUGGCAUGAAGAACAAUCUGGUGAGUGUAGGUAAAUUAAUUGAAAAGGGAUUCUAAGUUACCAUGAAGGACAAUCUUUUGAAGUUGUAUGAGUGUAAUUAGAAGCUAAUUAUGGAGUCAGAACAUGGAAGGAAUAGAACAUUCAUGGUGAAUGUUAAAACUGCGGACCCUGAAUUCCUUAGUGCAACAAGUGUUGUGAAGGAAAG
This 279-nucleotide long non-coding RNA is filed under the name Lathyrus oleraceus (garden pea). RNAcentral's name for it is "Pisum sativum (pea) long non-coding RNA (PSAT_LNC018770)". Lineage: Eukaryota; Viridiplantae; Streptophyta; Magnoliopsida; Fabales; Fabaceae. The record is from RNAcentral.